Transfer RNA from Felis catus (domestic cat), 73 nucleotides. It matches the Rfam family "tRNA". From Rfam's summary of the family: Transfer RNA (tRNA) molecules are approximately 80 nucleotides in length. NCBI's taxonomy places the organism in Eukaryota, Metazoa, Chordata, Mammalia, Carnivora, Felidae. The record is from Rfam.
ACCUGACUGGAUCAGUUGGUAAAGCGUGUGACUCUAAAUCUCAGGGUUGUGAGUUCGAGCCCCAUGUUGGGUG